GCCCGGCUAGCUCAAUCGGUAGAGCGUGAGACUCUUAAUCUCAAGGCUGCGGGUUCGAUCCCCGCGUUGGGCU
Molecule: non-coding RNA, 73 nt
Organism: Diplodia corticola
Lineage: Eukaryota; Fungi; Ascomycota; Dothideomycetes; Botryosphaeriales; Botryosphaeriaceae
Source: Rfam